UGGGGAAUCUUGCGCAAUGGGCGAAAGCCUGACGCAGCGACGCCGCGUGGGGGAAGAAGGCUUUCGGGUUGUAAACCCCUUUCAGGAGAGACGAAGCUACUCGGGUUAAUAGCCCAGAGGGUGACGGUACCUCCAGAAGAAGCCCCGGCUAACUACGUGCCAGCAGCCGCGGUAAUACGUAGGGGGCAAGCGUUGUCCGGAUUUAUUGGGCGUAAAGAGCGUGUAGGCGGUUAGGUAGGUCCGUUGUGAAAACUCGAGGCUCAACCUCGAGACGCCGAUGGAAACCCCUUAACUAGAGACCGGAAGAGGAGAGUGGAAUUCCUGGUGUAGCGGUGAAAUGCGCAGAUAUCAGGAAGAACACCCGUGGCUAAGGCGGCUCUCUAGUACGGUACUGACGCUGAGACGCGAAAGCGUGGGGAGCGAACAG
Molecule: ribosomal RNA, 427 nt
Filed under: uncultured bacterium
Lineage: Bacteria
Description: bacterial SSU rRNA
Rfam family: Bacterial small subunit ribosomal RNA
Source: RNAcentral